RNAcentral lists this ribosomal RNA (250 nucleotides) under uncultured bacterium. Its description in RNAcentral is "partial 16S ribosomal RNA". It matches the Rfam family "Bacterial small subunit ribosomal RNA", at positions 524 to 773 of the family's 1533-position model. The record is from RNAcentral.
UACGAGGGGUCCGAGCGUUAAUCGGAAUUACUGGGCGUAAAGCGUACGCAGGCGGUUCAUUAAGCUAGAUGUGAAAUCCCCGGGCUCAACCUGGGAAUUGCAUUUAGAACUGGUGAACUAGAGUCUUGUAGAGGGGGGUAGAAUUUCAGGUGUAGCGGUGAAAUGCGUAGAGAUCUGAAGGAAUACCGGUGGCGAAGGCGGCCCCCUGGACAAAGACUGACGCUCAUGUACGAAAGCGUGGGGAGCAAAC